UUUGUUCGUUCGGCUUGAGUUA
RNAcentral lists this microRNA (22 nucleotides) under Daphnia pulex (common water flea). Its description in RNAcentral is "dpu-miR-375". Its record names the gene dpu-miR-375. The record is from miRBase by way of RNAcentral. Lineage: Eukaryota; Metazoa; Arthropoda; Branchiopoda; Diplostraca; Daphniidae. RNAcentral also lists the same sequence under 1 other name.